This 497-nucleotide ribosomal RNA is filed under the name uncultured bacterium. Its description in RNAcentral is "partial 16S ribosomal RNA". It matches the Rfam family "Bacterial small subunit ribosomal RNA", at positions 28 to 507 of the family's 1533-position model. The record is from RNAcentral.
GAUGAACGCUGGCGGCGUGCCUAAUACAUGCAAGUCGAGCGAACGGACGAGAAGCUUGCUUCUCUGAUGUUAGCGGCGGACGGGUGAGUAACACGUGGAUACCCUACCUAUAAGACUGGGAUAACUUCGGGAAACCGGAGCUAAUACCGGAUAAUAUUUUGAACCGCAUGGUUCAAAAGUGAAAGACGGUCUUGCUGUCACUUAUAGAUGCAUCCGCGCUGCAUUAGCUAGUUGGUAAGGUAACGGCUUACCAAGGCAACGAUGCAUAGCCGACCUGAGGGGGUGAUCGGCCACACUGGAACUGAGACACGGUCCAGACUCCUACGGGAGGCAGCAGUAGGGAAUCUUCCGCAAUGGGCGAAAGCCUGACGGAGCAACGCCGCGUGAGUGAUGAAGGUCUUCGGAUCGUAAAACUCUGUUAUUAGGGAAGAACAUAUGUGUAAGUAACUGUGCACAUCUUGACGGUACCUAAUCAGAAAGCAACGGCUAACUACGUG